Molecule: unclassified non-coding RNA, 1401 nt
Filed under: Hevea brasiliensis (rubber tree)
Lineage: Eukaryota; Viridiplantae; Streptophyta; Magnoliopsida; Malpighiales; Euphorbiaceae
Source: RNAcentral
CAAUGUGCAUUCUCCCAGAAGGCUUGAACCCAUAAUAGCAAAUGUUUUUUGAAGAGAAUAUUGAAGAGCUCAUCUUUGAAUGCACUCUUCUCCAACACUCCUCAAGAUCUGAAAUCUCUCUUCUAGAGUCAUCCUCAAUCCCAAGAACCAAAAAUAUGGUCAACAUAAAACUACCAAUCAAACAAAUAGAUAACAGUUUGAGAGAGGGAAAGAAUGAUUAAUGGGAAGAGGAGGAGGAGGAAACAGAGUUGGAAGUAGAAUUAGAAUUCAAAUUUGAAUUGGAGGAGUUGGCGGAGAGCAUCUGUUGCAUUGGUGCUCCUGCUUCUCCUUCUCCUCCUCUGUUGACGUACUUGCAGCUAAGGAAGCUGCUGCAGUGGCGCUAUAUGGCUAAAAUGGCAAUGACAUUCUUCUUAAUAAGAGACAAAUGUGGUUUUUCUGUUUUGGUACCAAAUUGCUAAUAAAAAAAAGGUAAAAAAAUAAAAUUAAAAUCUUUUAUUUUGAGGUGGAGAUUGCAGAAUUACUGAAGGAGCUAAGAUGGCUUGCUGGAAGAUUUAUGGAGGAGGAUUUUCUUGGGCAAAAUUGGAGAGAUUGAGGAUUGUGUGGGAAAGUGAUUUGGAGUCUGGGAAUUAAUUUUCUCUGUUAAUGGCACAUGUGAUUUAUCUAAUGCUGUUAACAAUUGGGGUUAAUUGCUUUUUUCCACAUAGAUAGAUGGCUUAACUGAUCUCAAUUAAAAUCAGGGACUGAAGCUUAUUCCCUGCUAUAGUUGAGGGGCUAAAUUGAGCUUUUGGCCUCAAUUUUAUUAUGUUAUUCAUGUAUUUCCCAAGUCAAAAAAUGACCCAAAGAAAAAUCUUAAAAAUUCAUUCUAUCACCAUUUUCAUCGUGGGAUGUGCUAUGCUGAUUCUAUUGAUGAUUCAUUUUAGGUAAUCUUUGAACAUGAAAAUUGAAAUUUGGAAAUUUAUAUGAUCAAUUUUCCUCCAGAGCUCCUAUGUUUUGCUAAUGCUUUGUUAGGGCUAUAUUAAAGUUUAUUGCUUUAAUUUAUUUUGUCUUAUUUCCUAUCUUCCUGUUACAGACAAAUGGUGAGAAGCAAUGCCAGUUUCUUGUAGAUUACAUGGAAAAUAAUAAUCCUGGCAAAUUUUGCAAUGUGAACAUAGUAUCCGAUUUUGCUGGUAUCCAACGGUUUGUAACAGGUUUCACCAAUGAUAAAUGUCACUGAUAAAUGCCUCUCUACAUUGGAUACUGGAAAUAGGAGAAGAAAAAGAUAAGGUCUGUGUUCCCUGUCUGUUAUAAAUUUUAGUAAAAAUUUAUGAUGUUUAGUUAUUCUUUUGUUUGUUGUUUUACUAAUCUGAAAUGGAAAUCUUCUCCUUCAAUUCAAUUCAUCUUCCUUGCUUAUUAAACCUAGCU